This is a non-coding RNA of Monodelphis domestica (gray short-tailed opossum), 1860 nucleotides long. The record is from RefSeq and is a predicted model, not a curated record. Lineage: Eukaryota; Metazoa; Chordata; Mammalia; Didelphimorphia; Didelphidae.
UGGGAUAUAAACAUUUAUUAAGGAUAUGAUUUAAUUUUCUGUUUUAACUUUAAGAAUAAUGUAAUUUCCCUAUUUAUUUGACUUAACAUUUAAAAUUUUAUUUUUUCCCUUGUCUGAUAAAAUAAUUGCAUUUUCUGAUGCUUUGUAUUCAUCUGAUACAUAGUGAUUUUUUUCAGCCUCUGUAUAUGUCUUCAUUUUUUAGUUAUGUUUAUCGUAUGGAGAAAAUUGCUUAUUUUUGUUUUUUAAUGUAUUCUGCUACUAUUUUUCAUUUAGUUGGAUUAUAUUAUCCUUUCGUAUUUAAAAUUAUGAGUGUUAGCCUUACAUUGCCUCCAUUUAUUUCUUUUGUAUUGAUUUUUAUACUCUUUCUUUUUGAAGUCAGCACUUUUCCUUUGUGUAUAGUUUUACUUGCAAGACCUUGAUGUUAAGUCUAUUUCCAUGUAUUCCUUGCUCUGAUAUCACAAUUCUCAUUUACCUGUCCCAUUUCAAGUUCCUUUAAUUUAUUUAAAUUGUUAAUUUAUCUUUCUUUAUUCCUUUUUCAUGUCACUCAUAGCCUAGUAGAACCCAUUCCCCAAAAAAUAGUCUGUGGCGUUGGGUUCAAGUAGGCUAAAUUAAUUCCUGAGGGAGCCUAAAUCCACAGAAAAGAAAUUAUGCUUUUCUUGGCCCCCAAUCCACAGUUUCAGGCAAAAUCUCUUAAAGCUUAAAUAUAGUUCAUGUCUGAGGUGUUCCAAGAGCAUUCUAGAAAAGGGAACUCAGUUUAUAGACUAGAUAUCAGCAAUACUAUAGCUAUUUAUUUUGUCCAUUCCCAAAUAAGUACUGAAAACACAGAAAGACUUGCAAGCAUGCAUUAACUCUUCUUUAAAACAUAGAUCUAUUAUCUCUGCUAUAGACACUUCUGAGAGGUAAAGAUUCCUGUGAAACUGGUGAGGCUGCUGAAUGAAUAUUUCACAUUUGUCCUGGAUCUGAACAAUCUGAGUAGCAUCAUAGGACCCAUAUCUAUUGGCUAACCAGACCCACAGGGUUUUCUUCCUGGUGAUGGUCAUCUCCAACAGGAGAUAGCUAUCCUCCUUCUGAGCAGCUACUGCCUGAUGCAAAGACGUGGGCUUUUGCAGACUCACAUGCUAGCUUCUAAUCCCAGAGAGGCACAUAUGUUAGGACUGCUAUUCUCGAGAUUUAAUCUCAGACUUCCCUAGGCAAGUACAGGUUCUCACCAGCAUGUGUAGACCAUCUCCAUCACUGCUUCUGGGAAUGGAAGAGGACAGAGACCUCUCUCUCUUCCCAUUGCGGGAAGUCCAGGGGGAUUUGUUAAAUAUGCCAAGUAACAUUCUCAAAAGAAAAAAAAUACAGAAAAAAGAUAUAGGCACUUUGCCCUCUUCUUUGAAAGUUUCCUGAGGAUCUGUAGCCAGUCUUAUUUGACCUCAGUCAUAGGGAACUCCGAAGAAGAUUGCUGUCUCAUCUCACUGAGCAGUGAGCUCAUAAUGGGACAAAAAGAAGCUUUUUGUCACCUAUGUUCUUUAGCAAGGAGGUAGAAGACAUAUAUGCUCCACCAGAACAAUCAGGGAACUAGCACAUCCUUAUGCAUUCUCUAGACUUAAGGUAGAGAUGCAUCCACACCCAGUGCAUAGAUGAUCAAUGAUUUCUUCUUAGACAUACAGGGAUCCAUGAAGUGCCACCUCCAUUCACUUGAAACUACACUUCACUGGGGGCAUCCAAACCAGUCAGCAAUCAUUCUAGCAAGGAAGCAAGUAGAGACUAGAACAUGGAGACCAACAGAGAGCAAAGGAAGGUCCUAAUAUGAACCCAGAAGACCAGAAUUGCUUCGAUUUUAAAGAGACCUACAAUGCAAACUUUAUAUGACAGACA